Etheostoma spectabile (orangethroat darter) is the source of this 72-nucleotide long non-coding RNA. RefSeq lists it as uncharacterized. The record is from RefSeq and is a predicted model, not a curated record. The transcript is spliced from 3 exons. NCBI's taxonomy places the organism in Eukaryota, Metazoa, Chordata, Actinopteri, Perciformes, Percidae.
AAUCUUUUAUUUAGCUUUUAAAGAAACACGCCGACUUAUUGAGAUUUUAGCUCAUUUACUGCAUCCCCCAGA